GGAGGAAACUCUGAUGCAGCGAUGCCGCGUGAGUGAAGAAGGCCUUUGGGUUGUAAAGCUCUUUCGUCGGGGAAGAAAGUGACUGUGCCCGAAUAAUAGGGUCCGGCUAACUUCCUGCCAGCAGCCGCGGUAAUACUAAGGGACCUAGCGUAGUUCGGAAUUACUGGGCUUAAAGAGUUCGUANGUGGUUGAAAAAGUUGGUGGUGAAAUCCCAGAGCUUAACUCUGGAACUGCCCUCCAAACUUUUCAGCUAGAGUAUGAUAGAGGAAAGCAGAAUUUCUAGUGUAGAGGUGAAAUUCGUAUAUAUUAGAAAGAAUACCAAUUGCGAAGGCUGCUUUCUGGAUCAUUACUGACACUGAGGAACGAAAGCAUGGGUAGCGAACAGGAUUAGAUACCCUCGUAGUCCAUGCCGUAAACGAUGUGUGUUAGACGUUGGAAAUUUAUUUUCAGUGUCGCAGCGAAAGCCAUAAACACACCGCCUGGGGAGUACGACCGCAAGGUUAACACUCAGAUGAAUUGACGGGGACCCGCACAAGUAGUGGAGCAUGUGGUUUAAUUCGAAGAUACGCGCAGAACCUUACCAACACUUGACAUGUUCGUCGCGACUUUCAGAGAUUAAAGUUUUCGGUUCGGCCGGACGAAACACAGGUGCUGCAUGGCUGUCGUCAGCUCGUGUCGUGAGAUGUUGGGUUAAGUCCCGCAACGAGCGCAACCCUCAUCUUUAGUUGCCAUCA
RNAcentral lists this ribosomal RNA (734 nucleotides) under uncultured Alphaproteobacteria bacterium. Its description in RNAcentral is "bacterial SSU rRNA". It matches the Rfam family "Bacterial small subunit ribosomal RNA", at positions 373 to 1123 of the family's 1533-position model. The record is from RNAcentral. Lineage: Bacteria; Pseudomonadati; Pseudomonadota; Alphaproteobacteria.